GAUGAACGCUGGCGGCGUGCCUAAUACAUGCAAGUCGAGCGAACAGACGAGGAGCUUGCUCCUCUGACGUUAGCGGCGGACGGGUGAGUAACAUGUGGAUAACCUACCUAUAAGGCUGGGAUAACUUCGGGAAACCGGAGCUAAUACCGGAUAAUAUAUUGAACCGCAUGGUUCAAUAGUGAAAGACGGUUUUGCUGUUACUUAUAGAUGGAUUCGCGCCGCAUUAGCUAGUUGGUAAGGUAACGGCUUACCAAGGCAACGAUGCGUAGCCGGCCUGAGAGGGUGAUCGGCCACACUGGAACUGAGACACGGUCCAGACUCCUACGGGAGGCAGCAGUAGGGAAUCUUCCGCAAUGGGCGAAAGCCUGAUGGAGCAACGCCGCGUGAGUGAUGAAGGUCUUCGGAUCGUAAAACACUGUUGUUAGGGAAGAAAAAAUGUGUAAGAAACUAUGCACGUCUUGACGGUACCUAAAGAGAAAGCCACGGCUAACUACGUG
RNAcentral lists this ribosomal RNA (497 nucleotides) under uncultured bacterium. RNAcentral's name for it is "partial 16S ribosomal RNA". It matches the Rfam family "Bacterial small subunit ribosomal RNA", at positions 28 to 507 of the family's 1533-position model. The record is from RNAcentral.